CUAUCAUUUUCGUAUAAUUUUUUCAGAGAAACAUUCAACCAUUUUUCCGUACUAUAUACCCGCUAUAUUGCCACACCCGUAAACAUAAGGGGCAAUUUAUCCGGAUAUGGGCUAAGGUGCGUAGCGUCUAGUAAGUCAUGGUUUAAUGUCAACGCUUAACUUUGUCCGGCUAUUGAAACUGCUAAACUUGAGUUAGAUAGAGGCGAGUGGAAUUCCAUGUGUAGCGGUAAAAUGCGUAAAUAUAUGGAGGAACACCAGAGGCGUAGCGGCUCGCUGGGUCUUAACUGACGCUGAGGCACGAAAGCGUGGGGAGCAAACAGGAUUAGAUACCCUGGUAGUCCACCCGUAAACGAUGAGUACUAAGUGUCGGGUUAAACCGGUACUGAAGUUAACACAUUAAGUACUCCGCCUGAGUAGUACGUACGCAAGUAUGAAACUUAAAGGAAUUGACGGGACUCCGCACAAGCGGUGGAUCAUGUUGUUUAAUUCGAAGAUACCCGAAAAACCUUACCAGGUCUUGACAUGUUUUUGCAAAAUGAUAGUAAUAUCGUGGAGGUUACCAGAAACACAGGUGGUGCAUGGUUGUCGUCAGCUCGUGUCGUGAGAUGUUAGGUUAAGUCCUAAAACGAGCGAAACCCUUAUCGUUAGUUGCCAGCACGUUAUGGUGGGGACUUUAACGAGAUGCCCAUAGUAAAAUGGUGGACCGGUCGAGGAUCACGUC
This 721-nucleotide ribosomal RNA is filed under the name Coconut leaflet flaccidity (root wilt) phytoplasma. RNAcentral's name for it is "bacterial SSU rRNA". The stretch from base 80 to 721 matches the Rfam family "Bacterial small subunit ribosomal RNA", at positions 1 to 1186 of the family's 1533-position model. Lineage: Bacteria; Bacillati; Mycoplasmatota; Mollicutes; Acholeplasmatales; Acholeplasmataceae. The record is from RNAcentral.